Molecule: ribosomal RNA, 745 nt
Filed under: Serratia marcescens
Lineage: Bacteria; Pseudomonadati; Pseudomonadota; Gammaproteobacteria; Enterobacterales; Yersiniaceae
Description: partial 16S ribosomal RNA
Source: RNAcentral
ACUUUUGCUGAAAAGGUGAUGGGCGUAUUAAUCUUCCAACCAUGACCCCGUUCUGGCGAGUGAGAUGGAUGAAUUCGCCUGGGAGCACGGGCUGCGGCUGGUCAGACGCAAGCAGAUGGGCGGAAUGAAUGGUGCGAUUGCCCGUUAUCACCGGCUUCGUUCGUCCACGGCGAGUCAGAUGGUCUCUCCCGGCGUAAAUCGGAGUCAGGAUGAAGAAGUGGUCUGUGAAUCACUGGUGAUGUCGGCGCUUCGGCGCAAUGUGGGGGGGUAACCCCCGACAUGUUGACGCGCAGACAUUUUCUCACCACCACAGGAGCUUUGCUGAUGACAACAUUACUGCCAGGGGAAACCCUGGCAGCCUCGCUGGCUGAAAACGUCAGUCAAACAUGGCAAAAAAUAAUCGCUCGUCGCACUGUCCGGGAGGUGAUAACGCCGGGCUGGGUUUUGCAGUCGCUCGGGCAGAGGCCUGGCUCAACAGAAUUACGAAGAGCCAUUUUUGAACUGGUCAGAAGGAUCCCCUAUCAGCUCGGCUCGUGGAAUGGCGAAAGCAUGAGCCUGUUUCAGCAGGGCUUUGGCGACUGCCGUCACAAAGCCGCCGCCGCUGAGCGACUGCUGACCGCUGGUGGCGUCACGGCAAAGCGAAUACUGGUGCGUUUUGACUGGGCUGAUUUACCUGUACCCGCGGAGAUUCUGGAAAUUUUGCCACAAACUCAGGGAUUUCAUGACCACCGUGUCUUUUGAAUUA